ACGGUUACCUUGUUACGACUUCACCCCAGUUAUCGGUCCCACCUUCGACGGCUCCCUCCUUUCGGUUGGGUCACCGGCUUCGGGCGUUACUGACUCCCAUGGUGUGACGGGCGGUGUGUACAAGACCCGGGAACGUAUUCACCGCGACAUUCUGAUUCGCGAUUACUAGCGAUUCCAGCUUCAUGUAGUCGAGUUGCAGACUACAAUCCGAACUGAGACGUUAUUUUUGGGAUUCGCUUGCACUCACGUGUUCGCUUCCCUUUGUUUACGCCAUUGUAGCACGUGUGUAGCCCUGGUCAUAAGGGGCAUGAUGAUUUGACGUCAUCCCCACCUUCCUCCAGGUUGUCCCUGGCAGUCUCUCCACACUGCCCAUCCUUAAUGCUGGCUACUGAAGAUAAGGGUUGCGCUCGUUGCGGGACUUAACCCAACAUCUCACGACACGAGCUGACGACAACCAUGCACCACCUGUCUCCCCUGUCC
Molecule: ribosomal RNA, 480 nt
Filed under: uncultured bacterium
Lineage: Bacteria
Description: partial 16S ribosomal RNA
Source: RNAcentral